This 279-nucleotide ribosomal RNA is filed under the name uncultured bacterium. RNAcentral describes it as "partial 16S ribosomal RNA". It matches the Rfam family "Bacterial small subunit ribosomal RNA", at positions 506 to 784 of the family's 1533-position model. The record is from RNAcentral.
UGCCAGCCGCCGCGGUAAUACGGAGGGUGCAAGCGUUAUCCGGAAUCACUGGGUUUAAAGGGUGCGUAGGCGGCAUUAUAAGUCAGAGGUGAAAGCCCCCAGCUUAACUGGGGAAUUGCCUUUGAUACUGUAGUGCUUGAAUCAGGCUGAGGUUAGCGGAAUGUGUCAUGUAGCGGUGAAAUGCAUAGAUAUGACAUAGAACACCAAUUGCGAAGGCAGCUGACUAGACCUUAAUUGACGCUGAGGCACGAAAGCGUGGGGAGCGAACAGGAUUAGAUA